UAGGUACGCUUUCGUAAACUACGUACAAAGGUUCGAAACAGCUCACUCACACAAGCGCGUGUAUCGACGGGACGAAUGAGCGGUUCUUGCGUUACUGCCAGUAGUGUGCGUCGCUGCGCCGAAACGACUGCUCACGUAUAAGUUUAUUUCGCUGUUUUACGCAUGGGGAUGCAACUGAAGUACAAUAAUUUUCUGAGGUUUUUUUUUAGAAAUGCGCCAUCUAGUGACGGAUGCCCCGUAACUUGGGUAUUUGUACUUCGUUUUAGUCACUAGAUGUCACUGCACCUUAGACCGAUAUUUCAUCGAUUUAAUAACAAAUCUAAAAAAAGUUUUGUGAUUAGAAAUAUUAACAAAUAUUGUAAUUAAAUAAUUUUAUGAUUUAUUUUUAAUUCUUUUUUAUCUAUGAGGACGUCUUAGUUAAUCACAAUAAUCACACUACUUGAAACCACUUGAAACACUGACGAUUGACAUUGACAGUCGACCAUACUUUUAAAUUAAACCGUUUUCCGUUUUCUAACGUGUUGGUUUAUUCUGAGUGUUAUUUUCUGGUUUUUUUAUUACGAUUGUUGCGUGUUCCUGGACUCUGAUACUGACUGCUUCUGUGAUUGACCUGGCUUCGUAUUUUGGACCUGUGAUCUACUGCAUUUUCAUUGACCCGGCUUUGUAUUUUGGAACCUCGAUCGACUGCUUUUACAUUGACCCGGCACCGUAUUUAGGACUAGAAAAUGCGUCCAGUGGAUCGUCUUAGGGGCGGAAUGCCAUCAACGUCAAGAUAUAAGUGCUACUUUGAUUGUGACAAUGACGGCCCAUUGCACCGAUUUCCUAAACCUGAAUACCCACAUUUGGAAAAGUUUAACUCGUGGAAAAAGUACUAGAUAAAGCUUUACAAGAGAAAGGCGACAUCUACAUUUAUAACCAAAUUCGAUUUUGCGACAGACAUUUUGAAGAGUGUUACCGUUCAGCCAGUCACCGACUUACUCCAAAUGCAAUACCAACUCUAGAUUUAUCUACAUUACCAGUUGGUCAAACUCUUGAAGGUCCAUCGGGACAUGUCGAGGCAGACAUGUCGAAUUUAUUAAACAUUUCGCAAGAUAAACUUGCUGUCAUUGAGCCAUCCAGCUCUACCCACUAUCAUAGUGAUGUACAGAAUGCAUUACAGACAGCUGAACGCCCUAAAGGUUCUAGGAAAAGAGGGACUUGUCAAUAUUUAAAACGAGUCGUCACCUCCAAAGAGAAGGAGAUAAUAAAGUUAAAACAGAAAGUAUUGAAGCUGAAAAAGAAAUAUAAGGAACAAAAUAACAAGAAACUCUCUGCAAGGAAAAUUUCCACAUCAAAAUCAUUUUUGAAAGAGUUAAAUAAAAUGCCUGCAACAAUAAAAUAUUUACUUCCCUCCAAAUGAAAUGGAAAAAGAAACCACGAGGCAGGCGAUUUACAUUUAACGAAAAAAUCAUGGCAUUGACCAUUUACAAACAGAGUCAGAAAGCUUACAACCUCAUGCGAAAAAUGUUUGUCUUGCCAUCAAAGCGCAGCCUACAAAAAAUGUUGAGUAAAUUUGAACUGAAACCAGGCUUCAAUCCUGAUAUAUUUAAAAUUUAAAAGC
Long non-coding RNA from Helicoverpa armigera (cotton bollworm), 1600 nucleotides. RefSeq lists it as uncharacterized. NCBI's taxonomy places the organism in Eukaryota, Metazoa, Arthropoda, Insecta, Lepidoptera, Noctuidae. The record is from RefSeq and is a predicted model, not a curated record. The transcript is spliced from 4 exons.